Molecule: transfer RNA, 81 nt
Filed under: Blumeria graminis f. sp. tritici
Lineage: Eukaryota; Fungi; Ascomycota; Leotiomycetes; Helotiales; Erysiphaceae
Also listed under: 1 other name
Rfam family: tRNA
About the family: Transfer RNA (tRNA) molecules are approximately 80 nucleotides in length. Their secondary structure includes four short double-helical elements and three loops (D, anti-codon, and T loops).
Source: Rfam by way of RNAcentral
GCCCUCGUAGCUCAAUGGUAGAGCGCGUCACUAGUACUUAAGGUGAUGACGAGGUUGACGGUUCGAUUCCGUUCGGGGGCA